This 305-nucleotide transfer-messenger RNA is filed under the name Treponema sp. RNAcentral describes it as "partial transfer-messenger RNA". It matches the Rfam family "transfer-messenger RNA", at positions 44 to 374 of the family's 374-position model. From Rfam's summary of the family: Bacterial tmRNA, also known as 10Sa RNA or SsrA, is named for its dual tRNA and mRNA-like properties. Its role is to liberate the mRNA from a stalled ribosome. To accomplish this part of the tmRNA is used as a reading frame that ends in a translation stop signal. Lineage: Bacteria; Pseudomonadati; Spirochaetota; Spirochaetia; Treponematales; Treponemataceae. The record is from RNAcentral.
UGCAGGUGGAGUGUCUAGCUCCUGAUUAGGCAAAAACUUUAACUGCCAACAACGACAGUUACGAUUACGCCUUAGCUGCGUAACCGCGUGGAACCCUUCCGCCGCCUUGAGGAAGGACUUCCGCGUCACAAUCAAGGCUGGCCGUGUUCCUGGCGCCGGACGGGGCACGGUAAGAUUUAAACGGAUACGGAUGGACCGCGUGCCGGCCAGCCAAGUUCAUCCCGACAAUACAAUGGACGGCUAAACCUGUAGAGGCUUGUGUUUCGCGCAUCAGGACGCGGGUUCGACUCCCGCCACCUCCAAAA